CCUACGGGUGGCUGCAGUCGAGAAUCAUUCACAAUGGGGGAAACCCUGAUGGUGCGACGCCGCGUGGGGGAAUGAAGGUCUUCGGAUUGUAAACCCCUGUCAUGUGGGAGCAAAUUAAAAAGAUAGUACCACAAGAGGAAGAGACGGCUAACUCUGUGCCAGCAGCCGCGGUAAUACAGAGGUCUCAAGCGUUGUUCGGAAUCACUGGGCGUAAAGCGUGCGUAGGCUGUUUCGUAAGUCGUGUGUGAAAGGCGCGGGCACAACCCGCGGACGGCACAUGAUACUGCGAGACUAGAGUAAGGGAGGGGGAACCGGAAUUCUCGGUGGAGCAGUGAAAUGCGUAGAUAUCGAGAGGAACACUCGUGGCGAGGGCGGGUUCCUGGACAUUAACUGACGCUGAGGCACGAAGGCCAGGGGAGCGAAAGGGAUUAGAUACCCUUGUAGUC
RNAcentral lists this ribosomal RNA (446 nucleotides) under uncultured bacterium. Its description in RNAcentral is "partial 16S ribosomal RNA". It matches the Rfam family "Bacterial small subunit ribosomal RNA", at positions 338 to 795 of the family's 1533-position model. The record is from RNAcentral.